This 1221-nucleotide long non-coding RNA is filed under the name Anas platyrhynchos platyrhynchos (common mallard). RNAcentral's name for it is "lncRNA (ENSAPLG00000027811.1)". The record is from RNAcentral. Lineage: Eukaryota; Metazoa; Chordata; Aves; Anseriformes; Anatidae.
GAUUUAUGAAAUGAGACUUCAAGCCUUAUUUCCUUUUGUUACCGAAUAAAAGUUUUCAAAUGCUUAUUAAGAUAACCUGAGAAUCAAGAAGGAAAACAAUGAAUCACUCACAAAUAAGAAAUGAAUCUUCAAGAGAAUCCUAAAAAAGAAGCAUUUAUCAUUCAUGCUUCUUCAUUUAUCUCCCCAGGCUGAGUUCCAGUCCCAUCUGUGUGACUGAUGCUGCUUCUGAACAAACUCCUUCCCCACCUUUCCUUUCAUGCUGCCAGCCUGGAGAAGAUGAGGAGCUGGAGCUCCUUAGAGAGAACUGAGCCUAAUCUUGGACCUGGAGUCUGAUGUGAUACACCUGCUUAGCCCAGAUGGCUACAGGCAGCAGAGUAACAGCUACCAAGACAGAUGCUUCACUCACGUUGUGAACUGAAGAUUGAUCUGGCUAAGCACAAAUAAGUCCCUCUUGCUGAGCUAACACAGAAGGUGAUCGUUCAAGGGCUGCUGGUAAUUCAGACCUGACACAUAACAAUGUGGACCAACAGAUACCCUUCUUUGUGGCUGCAUUGUGUGCUCUUUAUGUUUAGAAGUCUCAUCAGUAAGCAACGUACCCUUUGCCUGUCCUCAUACCCAUGUGCACUCUUUCCAACUUUGCUUCUAGUGGCUACACUGCAAACUGGACAUGAGGAUUGAUUUUGCUAUAAAAAAAACUCUUCUUUAUUGACUGGCUUAUUUUUGAGCUGGAUAAGCUCCCUGACUCAUUUCACAGUGCAGCCACACAAGCAGCUAUUCCAGCUCUGCAGAAGAGCAAUGACACACAGCACAAGGUGGGAAUGAGCUGUAGGCCAUGCAUAUCUUAAAAUACCUGAAUGCUUCAUCUUAUGAAACCUCAGCUCAAGUCUUUCCUAUUAAAGUUCCUCUUCUGGGCAUAAACUGCUUAUACAGUCACAAACAGCAUAAAAGAACAUUAAAAUGACACUCUUGUCUACCAUUUUUGACACUCCCUGGAUUAUGAUGGAUUUACAGACUUGAUUUACAGCUAUGGGAACUGUUAGCUGAAAAGAUGCAGAGUACUUCUCAGUACAUCACAUCUACACAUGGGAAAAAAAUUCAUUCCAGCCCUCACAAGCAGCAGAAGAAAACAAAUCUAUAAUGCUCUGAGUCCUGAAAGAGUGUAGAAAAGACAACCUUUUAUUUUCCUUGCAUUUUUGGGAAUAAAGAACUUUGUUUUCCUAG